CCCCUUGUGGUGUAGAUGGCUAUCACAGUGGACUGUAAAUCCAUUGGUCCGCGGUUCGAGUCCGCGCGAGGGGA
This 74-nucleotide transfer RNA is filed under the name Phaeoacremonium minimum UCRPA7. RNAcentral's name for it is "tRNA-Tyr (GTA) (tRNA-Tyr-GTA-2-1)". It matches the Rfam family "tRNA". Rfam says of the family: Transfer RNA (tRNA) molecules are approximately 80 nucleotides in length. Their secondary structure includes four short double-helical elements and three loops (D, anti-codon, and T loops). Lineage: Eukaryota; Fungi; Ascomycota; Sordariomycetes; Togniniales; Togniniaceae. The record is from RNAcentral.